CUUCAGGUAAAGUGAAAGAAAAGGUAGAGCGACCUUUCAAAGACCCACCUUAGGACAUUUUAAGGGCACCUAACGAAAGACGCCUUUAUCCGUAUGAGUGACUGUUAUGGGAGCGAAGCUAUGCACGUUUUUACGCUUGAAAUCAUCCAUUCAUGCGCGUAUAACUUAAUCCUACAACAAAAGGUUAAAUCAAGUGUGCAUUUAAGCUACUGAAAGCAAAUACCGCUAGUGUUAGACGGGCAUUUUGCGCGUUGCUAGCGUUGCUGACUCGCUGACUCUUGUUGGCUAAACUUUCUUUUUGGCUAAACACUAGCCGUCACAAUAACGCGUUUGCUAAAUUUCCCGUCGUUUCAUUUGUGUACGUUCAAUGCACGUGUGUGUGCUGGUGGUUGCACGGUACGUUUGCAUUCGUAAGCUAUAACAAAGUGAAGGGCGUUGUGUGCGGUCCCCUCGUUGAGCCCGGGCUCCCGCCUGUUUCCCUCCAUUCGGCUUGCGUCCUCAAGGGAAAGGGGGAUGUCGCAAGGCUGAAUUCCCGUAAUGUCCCCGUGUUACGUGUUGUGUGGCCGUGUUCUGGCCGUUCUCGCGGCCGUCAGUGACAGCGGUAGAGAAACGGACGGUCUGUGCGAACCGAAGUGAAUGCGCGUGAACGAUGUGCCUGUGUGGUGAAUAUUACCUCCUUCUGAAUGUGUUCUAAUUCAGCUUUAUGCUAAUAAAUGGGUAAGGUUUUCUCA
Rhipicephalus sanguineus (brown dog tick) is the source of this 731-nucleotide long non-coding RNA. RefSeq lists it as uncharacterized. The transcript is spliced from 2 exons. Lineage: Eukaryota; Metazoa; Arthropoda; Arachnida; Ixodida; Ixodidae. The record is from RefSeq and is a predicted model, not a curated record.